AAUCCGAAAUCGAGUUGGCCAUGGUGUAGAUUUGUUCCCUGCUUGGCUACUUCCAGCCAAGAAUGAAAUUACUAAACUAGGUCUAAAAACUCGUUUUGAUUUGGAUCUGGGAGAAUGUCUGAGCAAGGAGAACUAACCCCGACCAUACUGGAAGAAGGGCGGACAGAGCCAGAAUCUGCCCCAGAAAAUGGCAUCCUCAAGUCAGAAAGUCUGGAUGAGGAGGAGAAGCUGGAACUGCAGCGGCGACUGGCAGCUCAGAACCAAGAGAGAAGAAAAUCCAAGUCAGGAGCAGGUAAAGGGAAGCUGACCAGAAGUCUUGCUGUCUGUGAAGAGUCUUCAGCCAGACCUGGAGGGGAAAGUCACCAGGAUCAGACUCUCUGAGAACUGCAAACGGAAAGGAACUCAAAAGAACUUAGAUUAAAACUUAACUUACAAAUGAUAAAAUAAAAUAAAAUAAUAAAAUCCAGUAA
Molecule: long non-coding RNA, 470 nt
Filed under: Rattus norvegicus (Norway rat)
Lineage: Eukaryota; Metazoa; Chordata; Mammalia; Rodentia; Muridae
Description: long non-coding RNA NONRATT029046
Source: RNAcentral